CAGUCGCCGCGGGAAUACGGAGGGUGCGAGCGUUAAUCGGAAUUACUGGGCGUAAAGCGUACGCAGGCGGUCUGUUAAGUCAGAUGUGAAAUCCCCGGGCUUAACCCGGGAACUGCAUUUGAAACUGGCAGGCUAGAGUCUUGUAGAGGGGGGUAGAAUUCCAGGUGUAGCGGUGAAAUGCGUAGAGAUCUGGAGGAAUACCGGUGGCGAAGGCGGCCCCCUGGACAAAGACUGACGCUCAGGUGCGAAAGCGUGGGGAGCAAACAGGAUUAGAUACCCCUGUAGUCCCUGUCUCUUAUAC
This 301-nucleotide ribosomal RNA is filed under the name uncultured bacterium. RNAcentral describes it as "partial 16S ribosomal RNA". It matches the Rfam family "Bacterial small subunit ribosomal RNA", at positions 509 to 807 of the family's 1533-position model. The record is from RNAcentral.